GACAGAGGGUGCAAACGUUGCUCGGAAUUACUGGGCGUAAAGCGCGUGUAGGCGGGCUUGUAAGUUGGACGUGAAAGCCCUGGGCUCAACCCAGGAAUUGCAUCCAAAACUACAAGUCUAGAGUGAUGGAGAGGGUCGCAGAAUUCCUGGUGUAGAGGUGAAAUUCGUAGAUAUCAGGAGGAACACCGGUGGCGAAGGCGGCGACCUGGACAUUAACUGACGCUGAGACGCGAAAGCGUGGGGAGCAAACAGG
Molecule: ribosomal RNA, 253 nt
Filed under: uncultured bacterium
Lineage: Bacteria
Description: partial 16S ribosomal RNA
Rfam family: Bacterial small subunit ribosomal RNA
Source: RNAcentral